AAAAAAAAGGGACAGACGAAAUGACAAAAACAAAACCUUUCGACAACUUUUCGUCUUCCAGAAUCCUUCCGAAUUCUGCAAAGCAGCCCUUCUCGCCAAACACUUACGGAUCUAGCACGGAAGGAACGAAAGUAGAAUUUCCCAGACCAUACAGUCUUCUAAAAUAAUUUUGCAUGAUGAGAAAAGUCAUUCUUAAGCAGAGUUUGACUUUGAAGAUACCAAAAGAUGCAUCCGGGAGCAGCUUUAGGUUUUCACCUUACAGAAUUAGACUUUUCCAUUUUAUACUGGACACCAACUCGAUUCAAGGACUGUUAACAAGCAGCUCAAGUGAAAUGUAUGUACGCUGGAUGAAAAUGCGUGAAUAACUUGGGUUCGGUUGGAUUCUUUGUUUAGUAUUAACAAUUACCUGAUAUUGGAGAUAACUUACUCUAAGGCUCAUGAAGAGGGUAAAUUGAAAUGUACUGUUAUGGGGGCGGGUAGAAUUGGUUGAAAGGAAGUGACUGACGAUUUAGGAUUGAAACAGGAAAAUGACAGCACCAAUCAGGAAUGUUUUCUUAUUUCCUUGACACGGAUAGAACAAAGCAGGCAACAAUAAGCCAGACCUCUUUCUGUCAAAAGUACCAUUUUCAUUUUCAUUAAAUGCAGAUCAAUUUCCCUUCUUGACCACCAGAAUCUGCAAAUAAUCAGCUAUUUUAUCAGUUCCAAAAACAAUGCUUCUCGGAUAUGACCCAAAGCAUUGAGACCAAGUUAUUAGAAUGGUGAAUUUCAAUUCCAAUCAUCCCCUGAUCCUUUGAUAAAAAUAAUCAGAAAGCCUUGCAUCUGAGGACAUGUCAGACAGCAUAUUGAGGUAGCUAUGUGCAUGUGUAGGUGUAAUGCAUUGAAUUUGGAACAACAAAGGAACUGCAUGAAGGUGAAGAUCAGAUGCUCAGUUACUUUACAAAUGCUCAACGUGAAAUAGUCAAUUGCCUCGGGAGAGUGAGAGUACUUUUAAUGAGAAUAAUGAUUUAGUUAAAUCAACUCAGUACAUAAUUACAUUGUCAGUAUCGAUUGGAGGAAUUGAAAUUAAAGUGAGUCAUAGAAAUUGGAUUUCAAAUUUGAGUUGGGUUGCUUUGUCUUAACAAUGAAAUUGGGACAGUUAUCUCUCUGGAUUAAUAAUUCAUAGGCCCUGCUUUAUGCUGUGGAAAUUUGGUUCGCUUUCCACCACAGCAGCCAAGGGUUUUAAACCCAAUUAAUAAAUCAGAAUUUUAACCUAAAGUCAUUCAUUGUGACAUGACAACUAUCAAUGAUUGUUGUAAAAAACCCCUCUUCACAAUUUUUUUUAGGGAAUACAAUCUCCCAUUCUUACCUAGUCAGGUUUACUAGUGACUCCAAACCCACAGCAAUGUGGUUAAACCUUUCUGCUAUGGCCUAGCAGCAUUCUGUUUAAGGGCAGUUAGAGGUGAACUAUAAAUGUUGGUGAUAUCCAGAUGAAAGAUUUUUUAAAAAGUAUGCUAGGGAGGAAUGCAAUACAUAGUGACAUUUAUCUGCAAGAUGGAUAAAGGUGAUAAGAUAAGCUAGAGAAUUGAUUAAUUGCAUGAUCUCAAUAAUCAAAAUGGCAAAUUAUAGUUUUCUGUGUCAUGUACUAUGACUUACUUUGUAUCAAAAUGUAUAGUAAACAAAAUUGAUCUUAGGAUAAAAUAACAAAUGACUUCAGAGUUAUUUGAUGUCAAUAAUUUGAGGACUUUAAAUCAGGCUGGGAGGGUAUGAGGGUUUGCUGAAGGUUAUGAUUGGGACUUUAUACUAAAAGAAACAACUUUCAAAUACUUCUGUAGAUUUCAAAUGUUGCAAAAUGAACAUUUUUGUGAAAGAGAACAUUAAUUGAGAAAAUUAAACAAAGAACUGUGGAUGCUGGAGAUUUGAAACAAACAACAACACCAAUUGCUGGAGAAAUUCAUCAGGUCUGGCAGCAUCAGUGGACAGAAAAGUAGAGUUAAUGUUUUGAGUCAAGAAGGCACAGCAAUGCCUCUUCUUCCUCAGGAGGCUUAGGAAAUUCAGCAUGUCUGUAAGGAUCCCCACCAACCUUUACAGGUACACCUAGAAAACAGAAUAUACCUAAAUGGGUGCGUCACAGCUUGGUAUGAUAACUGCUCUGCCCAGGACCAUAAGAAACUACAGAGUUGUGAACACAGGCCAGACCAUCACAGAAGCCAACCUGCCAUGCAGUGACCCCAUUUACACUUCUGGUUGCUGUGGAAAGGCAGCUAACAUCAUCAAAAAAAACCCUCCCAUUCCAGUUAUACUCUCUUCCAACCCCUUCCAUCAGGCUGGGAUACAGAUGCUUAAACACAAGUACCAACCGGUUCAAGAACUGCUUCUUCCCUGCUGUUAUUAGACUGCUAAAUGGACCUCUCUAAUUUUAAAUCUAAUGUUAAUCUUGCUUUUGUACUCCUCCUGUGCAGCCAUACCCCUGUAUGCCUCGCUCUGUCUAAACACUCCUAUGAUCUAUUUGCCAUUGUACGUUGUGAUCUGUCUGUACUGCACAUAAAGAAAACUCUUCAAUCUACUUAGGUACAUGUGACAACAAUAAAUCACAUCAAAUCAAGAGUCCAGUGAUCCUUCUUCAGAACCGCUGAAACAUUGAUUGCCC
Hemiscyllium ocellatum (epaulette shark) is the source of this 2626-nucleotide long non-coding RNA. RefSeq lists it as uncharacterized. The record is from RefSeq and is a predicted model, not a curated record. The transcript is spliced from 3 exons. Lineage: Eukaryota; Metazoa; Chordata; Chondrichthyes; Orectolobiformes; Hemiscylliidae.